RNAcentral lists this ribosomal RNA (443 nucleotides) under uncultured bacterium. Its description in RNAcentral is "partial 16S ribosomal RNA". It matches the Rfam family "Bacterial small subunit ribosomal RNA", at positions 338 to 795 of the family's 1533-position model. The record is from RNAcentral.
CCUACGGGAGGCAGCAGUGGGGAAUAUUGCACAAUGGGCGAAAGCCUGAUGCAGCAACGCCGCGUGAAUGAAGAAGGAUUUCGGCUCGUAAACUUCUAUCAACAGGGAAGAAAGAAAUGACGGUACCUGACUAAGAAGCCCCGGCUAACUACGUGCCAGCAGCCGCGGUAAUACGUAGGGGGCAAGCGUUAUCCGGAAUUACUGGGUGGAAAGGGUGAGUAGGCGGCACGGUAAGGCAGAAGUGAAAGCCUUGGGCUUAACCCGGGGACUGCAUUUGAAACUAUCAAGCUAGAGUGCAGGAGAGGAAAGCGGAAUUCCUAGUGUAGCGGUGAAAUGCGUAGAUAUUAGGAAGAACACCAGUGGCGAAGGCGGCUUUCUGGACUGAAACUGACGUUGAGGCACGAAAGCGUGGGGAGCGAACAGGAUUAGAUACCCGUGUAGUC